Molecule: long non-coding RNA, 354 nt
Organism: Oxyura jamaicensis (ruddy duck)
Lineage: Eukaryota; Metazoa; Chordata; Aves; Anseriformes; Anatidae
Exons: 3
Source: RefSeq, a predicted model, not a curated record
CUGCGCGUCCCUCGGAGCAGGGGGUAAAUGGUUAAGAGCAAAUAAAUGCUGGCGAGGCGCUGCUUUGCGCCCUGCACCGAGCCCAGCACGGAGCUCCCGUGGGGUUUUGGGGGGCUGGUGAGGGGCGGUGGGGUGGCACGGCAGGAUGGGGGUGAUGCUCUGGGCUGUGGGGACUCGCUGCAGGGGCAAAGCCACAGGAAAACUUGGAGCUGGCACUCCUGGAGCGUGGCCUGGGGGUGUGGACUGGACAAGGCGGCACCCCGAAACAGGCAGCGCCUGGUGGGACUGCUCGUCCUUGCCCCCCGUCCCCCUGCCCUUCUCGUUUGUAGCUCAGCGCCUGCCAGGCAGGGGCUC